RNAcentral lists this ribosomal RNA (524 nucleotides) under Rhizobium sp. Its description in RNAcentral is "bacterial SSU rRNA". It matches the Rfam family "Bacterial small subunit ribosomal RNA", at positions 128 to 686 of the family's 1533-position model. Lineage: Bacteria; Pseudomonadati; Pseudomonadota; Alphaproteobacteria; Hyphomicrobiales; Rhizobiaceae. The record is from RNAcentral.
ACCCAUCCCUACGGAACAACUCCGGGAAACUGGAGCUAAUACCGUAUACGCCCUUUGGGGGAAAGAUUUAUCGGGGAUGGAUGAGCCCGCGUUGGAUUAGCUAGUUGGUGGGGUAAAGGCCUACCAAGGCGACGAUCCAUAGCUGGUCUGAGAGGAUGAUCAGCCACAUUGGGACUGAGACACGGCCCAAACUCCUACGGGAGGCAGCAGUGGGGAAUAUUGGACAAUGGGCGCAAGCCUGAUCCAGCCAUGCCGCGUGAGUGAUGAAGGCCUUAGGGUUGUAAAGCUCUUUCACCGGAGAAGAUAAUGACGGUAUCCGGAGAAGAAGCCCCGGCUAACUUCGUGCCAGCAGCCGCGGUAAUACGAAGGGGGCUAGCGUUGUUCGGAAUUACUGGGCGUAAAGCGCACGUAGGCGGACAUUUAAGUCAGGGGUGAAAUCCCGGGGCUCAACCUCGGAACUGCCUUUGAUACUGGGUGUCUUGAGUGUGGAAGAGGUAAGUGGAAUUGCGAGUGUAGAGGUGAAA